Molecule: ribosomal RNA, 792 nt
Filed under: uncultured bacterium
Lineage: Bacteria
Description: bacterial SSU rRNA
Rfam family: Bacterial small subunit ribosomal RNA
Source: RNAcentral
AGUCUAUGAGGAAGUUUAGCUUGCUAAAUGGACUCAUGGCGGACGGGUGAGUAACGCGUAAAGAACUUGCCCUUUAGACUGGGAUAACAGAGGGAAACUUCUGAUAAUACUGGAUAAGUUAGUAUAUCGCAUGAUAUGCAAAUGAAAGCUACGGCACUAAAGGAGAGCUUUGCGUCCUAUUAGCUAGUUGGUAAGGUAAGAGCUUACCAAGGCGAUGAUAGGUAGCCGGCCUGAGAGGGUGGACGGCCACAAGGGGACUGAGAUACGGCCCUUACUCCUACGGGAGGCAGCAGUGGGGAAUAUUGGACAAUGGAGGAAACUCUGAUCCAGCAAUUCUGUGUGUGUGAAGAAGGUUUUAAGACUGUAAAACACUUUUAGUAGGGAAGAAAAAAAUGACGGUACCUACAGAAGAAGCAACGGCUAAAUACGUGCCAGCAGCCGCGGUAAUACGUAUGUUGCGAGCGUUAUCCGGAAUUAUUGGGCUUAAAGGGCAUCUAGGCGGUAAGACAAGUUGAAGGUGAAAACCUGUGGCUCAACCAUAGGCUUGCCUACAAAACUGUUGAACUAGAGUACUGGAGAGGUGGGUGGAACUACACGAGUAGAGGUGAAAUUCGUAGAUAUGUGUAGGAAUGCCGAUGAUGAAGAUAACUCACUGGACAGAAACUGACGCUGAAGUGCGAAAGCUAGGGGAGCAAACAGGAUUAGAUACCCUGGUAGUCCUAGCUGUAAACGAUGAUCACUGGGUGUGGGGAUGCGAAGUCUCUGUGCCGAAGCAAAAGCNAUAAGUGAUCC